CUUAGAGAAUAUAACAAACUUAUGAUGUAGAUGUUAGAGGCCCAAACAGCAGCAUUUUUACUUCACUUGAAACUUAAAAGUUAUUCCAUUAUCAUCCAUCAUAAUCUGUCUCUUACAUCUUCUCGUUUAUUAUUCUUUUAUCUAUCCUUAUAUACUGAACAUCUUUCCAGACUUAAUUAGAGGCACCGGUUUCGUUGAGCAGUUGUAAUCAGAUAUCAAAAUACAUGAUAUCUAGUCUAUAUUACUAAGUACUAACUGAAUGUUAAACUCUAUCGCCUGCGUAGAUUCCAGUUGCUUCUUCUUUAAGAUCAGCUCAACUGGCAUCUGACUAUCGGAAACAAGAUAUAACACCUUGAAAAUCAAAGUUGGUGAAAAUGUGAUUGCAGCAAUACAUGUGCUUCAAGCAAUACGGAGAGCCCAUCCUAAUUGUUCUUUUAUCAUAGACGCUAAAGAAAAAUACACCAGUACUGAAGCUAUUCAACUUCUUCAAGAAUUGCACGAGAUGAAAUUGACUCCGGUUCUGUUUGAGCAGCUAGUUCAUAGAGACGACUGGGAAGGUCUCGGCCGUGUUAAUCAGAUUGGCAGAGAGAAAUAUGGGAUAUUUGUGGCUGCGGAUGAAAGUUGCCGUGGUUUAGCUGAUGCAAGAAAGAAUUGAGUUUUAGGCUUGCAUCUCAUGAUUAGUGGUAUGGUUGAGAGUAGACUCGCCAUUGGCUUCGCUGGUCACCUUGUUGACAGGAAGGCUUUAAGAUCAUCAUUGUACAAUUCUUGAAGAAGUUGAAUAGCUUCUGUACUGGUGUAUCCUUCAUUAGCAUCUAUGAUAAAAAAACAAUCAGGGUGGACCUUCCUAUUGCUUGAAGCACAUGUAUUGCUGCAAUUACAUUUUCACCAACUUUGAUUUCAAAGUGUUAUGUCCUUGUUUCCGAUAGUCAGAUGCCAAUUGAGCUGAUCUGAAAGAAGAAGCAACUGGAAUGUACGCACGCGAUACAGUUUAACAUUCAGUUAGUACUUAGUAACAUACUAGAUAUAUCAUGUAUUUUGAUAUUCUGAUUACAACUGCUCAACGAAACCGGUGCCUCUAGCUACGUCUGAAAAGAUGUUCAGUAAAUAAGGAUAGAUAAAAGAAUCAUAAACGAGAAGAAUAUGUUGUAGCUCGGAAACUGAACUUAUUAAAGCAUUAAGCACUGGAGCCUGGAGGCACUAGUUAACACAUAUCUAUUUUGUCAUUCUGCAUUUAUAUUUGUCACUCUGCAUUUAUAUUAUUUUGGCAUUACCUAGUACUUGCCUUGACUAUCAAGGACAGUGGUUGUAGUAUGUCCAACUGCUGGAAUUAGGUUCUGCAGGAAACUUUUCGGAGCUUUAGAGAAUAUAACAAAGUUCUCUGAUGUAGAUGUUAGAGGCCCAAACAGCAGCAUUUUUACUUAAAAGUUAUUCCAUUAUCAUCCAUUAUAUAUAAAUAAGAAUUACCCAACCUAACCCUAAUUCAUAUAUUUUCAAGACCGGUUCAUUAUGGGUUUCGGUUGUGUCGGAUACCAAGAUUUUAUUAGUUUAUUGUUUUUACGUGCAUAUCAUGAGUUUCUUUUGAAAUUCAUUCAACUCUUUUAUGCGAGAUUAUGAAAUCUGUUAUAAAAUGGGAGGUUUUGAUGUUUAUGUCAUUGUCAAGGUUGUGAUCAAUGCACAUUCAACAUGAUUUAGUUUAUAUAUCGGGAAAAAUAUCAAAUUGGUGACUCGUUCUAUUCAAAUAUAUCAAGUAAGUCACCACUUUCCAGUUUGACUCUGGUGUGAUUUUCUCUCUGGUGUAAUUUUUGUUGCAGUGCCAAAAGAUCUAUUGAAUUUUGGUGAAGCAUUAGCAGAAUCCCCAGGGGAAAACAUGGGGAGCUCAGUGCCGUCUCUUGUUUUUAUUCUGAUGAAGCGAACUUACAACAUAAAGGAGUCUGGUUGUUGCAGAUGUUCAAGCUGAAGGUAUCAAUUUGGUUCUGUGGGACUCUGGAAUUUAGAUGGGUGGCUGAUUUGAACAUAUUCACAAACUUGCUUUUAUUAUAAAAUUUUACUGGCUCGUCAAGCUUAUUUUUUACUUAAUCUUCUGAUUUACGACCAACUUGCUUAAUGUUAGAAUCGUAAAUGAACCGAGAUUCGUCAAGAAACUCGACUCAGCUCGUUAACGAGUUCAAGUUUGAACAACCAAAGCUAUUCAACAAGUUUAACGAGUCGAUCAGAGCCUUUUAGAUGUUUGACUUGACUCGACUCAAUUUUGACUCGAACUCGAGUUCGGGUCAUUAAACUCGAACUCGACUCGGUUAGUUAUAUAUAUUAGGAAAAAAAUAUUUUUUUAUAUAAUUUAAAUAAAGAAUGGAUUAGUAAUAAAUGGUCAUUUGACUACUAAUUUGAUCUCCCAUGACCAAUAAAAAAAUUUUGAAAUACUAGAAUGCAUCCGCAUUAUUGCACUAGAGAUGACAAACUGUGAAACUUACACAUUCAUUGAACUUGAAAGUUGAAAGUUGAAACUAGAAAAUCACACAUAUAAAUUCAUAACACAUUGAUGAGUGACUGAUUUAACACUAGUCCAUUGAUCAGUUAAUAAGUCAAAAACCCGAUGUUAGUACUAUAUUAUUCAAGAUACCUAGCUGACAACUUCAUAUGAUCUUAGCUGACAACUUCGCAAUACAAUAACCCAAAUUUUAGUAUCAUGUUAUUCUAGUUUACUAGCAUUUUUUCAAAUAUGCAUAAAAUUAUAAAUCAAAAUAAGUUUGACGUGUGUGUGGUCGUAACCCGUGAGUGAGGAUGGUGGUGAUGUUUCAUCGAAGGAAGGUAGUCCAUAUAUAUUGCCGUACAAGUUCUGUUAACAUGAAGAAACUGCAAAAGAUGUUUCAAAACGCAGCUGAAGAGAAUGUUAGAAGUAUAAGGCAAUAUGUAACAGAGCUCAAAGAACGUGUUGCCAAGCUGAAAUCCCAAAAGCGAUUACUUGUCUGCCAGAAGAAAAGUGAUUGAUUGAACAAUCUGCCACCAGGUGCUUGAGCUGGAGGCAAAUGAAGCAGCAGGGGUAUGACUGGAGAAUAAUGAAAACAUGCCUGAAAUACAAGAGGAGUCUCCAGUAUCAUGGACGUACAUCAUAAGUUUGUCAUAUUCUCUAAGCUCAAAAAAGCUUAGAAAUCUAUUAGUCAUUUUUUAAAUUUGCACGUCUUUUAUAUUUUUAUGCAUUUGUAGGAAGCAAAUUUUGUUCGAUUAUAACAGAAUGAGUUUUAGGUAAAGUAAAAAUAUAGUUGUUCGGCCGAGUAACAUCUACAUUAUAAGUUUAUCAUAUUCUCUAUGCUCAGAAAAGUUUUCUCCAAAAUGUAAUUCUUUAAUUUCUUGGGUACACUCUUUUAAGGUGAUAUUGAAACCACUUUCCCUUUUCAUUUCUAAAUUAGGUGCUCCUCUAUACUAUUUUUUUGUGUUUUGUCAACUUGUAUAUGUAUCAUGUCUCUGGGAAAUAUGCAUAAACAGUUUCAUUGAUCUGUGUCAUUCCUGUACCCUUCACAUUUUGAACAAUCUGAAUUUUGAUUUAAAUUCUCUCCACUUUUAAAGUGGAAUAUAUUUCAUCAUCUUGUAGAACAAAUCUUAGGGUAAGAGUAUGAAACAUGUUAAACAUAAGAUCACUUUGUUAGUGUUGUUUUGCAUUGUUCUUUAAAUAUAACAUUGCAGUAUGGAAGAAGAGUGAUGCUACUGUAAUACUCAGAAAAUAUAUAUAUUUGUAUUACUUCUCUUCUAUUCCUUGAAAACAAAGUACAGACUUCUCUUCUAUUUAUAAAUAGAAGAAUAUACAAACCAUCAGUUUAUGGAUAAAAACAGAUACGUUACAGAUACAUUUUACUAAGCAUAAAGACUUAAUAUAUUCCCAUACAUUCACUGAAUCCAACAUGUCAGACUACUGAGUUGAAGAGUUUAGUUUACUUAUCCAACAUAUUCCUCCCUUAAACUAACACUCCUUUCGAUCCUUCAUACCUAACAUCAUUUUGUAGUUACCUAACAUAACUUUUGGAAGCGGCUUUGUUAGAACAUCUGCUACUUGGUCACGAAUAACAACAUGACGCAUUUGCACAUUCUUUUCCUUAACAUGCUUCCGAAUAAAAUGAAAUCGAACAUCUACAUGCUUACUCCUUUCGUGAUGUACACGGUUCUUAGCUAACUCCAUUGCAGAUUUAUUAUCAACUCAUAUUUCAGUUGAUAUAUCCGUGCUGCGGGAGUCUUAACUCAAAGAACUGUCUCAGCCAUAUUGCAUGACAUACACAAUAGAAAGCAGCCACAUACUCUGCCUCACACGUUGACAAUGAUACUAUUGGUUGCUUCUUUGAAUUCCAUGUAAAAGCUAUAUUUCCCAUAAAGAACACAAACCAUGAUGUGCUUUUUCGAUCACCCACAUCUCCGCACCAAUCACUAUCAGAUUCUCUUGAUCGCUUUCCAAUGUGAAUGUUUUGGAUCCUCCAUGAACCUACUUACUAUACCGACACUGUAUGCAAGGUCCGGCGUUGUACACGUGUGAUAUCACACUAGAACUCCUCCCUCAAACUUAGAUUGCUUGGUGCCAAGUUUCACCGGUGUUACCACUGGAUUAAAAUUCUCCAUGCUAGCUGUUGCUGUUCAUCUUGUUUAGAAAAAGAGAAAUCACAGCUGCAUAAUCCAGGGCCUGGUCAUUCUACAAUUCAUAUUAUUAAUCAGCUGAGAAGAACUGUUCUUGAAAAGUUGUUUUCUUGUGCUAAGUUCCAAAAAUGGGCGCGUGGGGAUAACCUUCUGAUCUGCUUACUGUAUUAACUAGUAAUUAGAUGUAAUAGCUUUAAGGCUUUUAUCCUGUGCUCUUCUAGUCUAGCUUGCUUAUUAUUAGUUUGUAGUCUUACUAUGUAAUCUGGUUUGUUGCUGAGCAGGUUGCUUUCUCUGUUCUUUCCUGGGGUAUGCCCCUUGAAGAAUGUUAUUUUUCCUUUUUCUAUAAAACUUUAAUUUAGC
Long non-coding RNA from Daucus carota subsp. sativus, 4974 nucleotides. RefSeq lists it as uncharacterized. The record is from RefSeq and is a predicted model, not a curated record. Lineage: Eukaryota; Viridiplantae; Streptophyta; Magnoliopsida; Apiales; Apiaceae. The transcript is spliced from 4 exons.